Molecule: ribosomal RNA, 429 nt
Filed under: Chloroflexota bacterium
Lineage: Bacteria; Bacillati; Chloroflexota
Description: Chloroflexi bacterium partial 16S ribosomal RNA
Rfam family: Bacterial small subunit ribosomal RNA
Source: RNAcentral
UGGGGAAUAUUGCACAAUGGGCGCAAGCCUGAUGCAGCCAUGCCGCGUGUAUGAAGAAGGCCUUCGGGUUGUAAAGUACUUUCAGCGGGGAGGAAGGGAGUAAAGUUAAUACCUUUACUCAUUGACGUUACCCGCAGAAGAAGCACCGGCUAACUCCGUGCCAGCAGCCGCGGUAAUACGGAGGGUGCAAGCGUUAAUCGGAAUUACUGGGCGUAAAGCGCACGCAGGCGGUCUGUCAAGUCGGAUGUGAAAUCCCCGGGCUUAACCCGGGAAUUGCAUCUGAUACUGGUCAGCUAGAGUCUUGUAGAGGGGGGUAGAAUUCCAUGUGUAGCGGUGAAAUGCGUAGAGAUGUGGAGGAAUACCGGUGGCGAAGGCGGCCCCCUGGACAAAGACUGACGCUCAGGUGCGAAAGCGUGGGGAGCAAACAGG